UUCAAAAUAGCAUAAUUUGUGCAUUAUAUUUGCUAGCCAAGAUUAAACUUUUAUAUUUCUUAAGAUUAAGAUCAUCUCGGCAUGUGUUUGUCCAUGGAAAGGAAGAGAAGGAAGGCCAAAGGCAGAUGAUAUUUAGUAAUGGCAUUGGGUUGGGGUUUGCCAUUCCCAUCUCAUCUCUGUCCUAUGAACAAAUUGAAUUGGGGUGGUUAUCUCAUUUUGUUUCUUUCAUAAUUUUAUAAAUUAUCAAAAAUUAUAUUUUUAUUUGACCAUGAACUAUCUAGCUAAAGGAGAAAUAUUGAGAGUGACACAUCGGAGUGUCAUUAAUCACAAUUUACUCAUUCACAUGCCCACCUUUACUUCUUUAGGAUCUCCACCAUGUGUGCUCAAAUUCCACUUUCCAUGGUGAAAUCAUGCAAGCAAAACUUUUGAACUAAGCUUAUUAAGUUUUAAGAUGAAGAGAUUUUGAGGCUAGUUAGGGUAAUGAUUUAUUACAUCCAAGUUCGAAUUAUGUUUCCACUCCCUCUAUGAGUGGUGUUGAUGAUUAUGAUGAUUUGGUUUCAUCAUCUGAGAAGCUGCUAGCAGAUGUUUAGGCGGUGUAUUUUACAGGUUCAUGCAAUGUAAAAGUUUCUUUAUUGGAGCAGAUUAUUGAGUGCUUGUAGGGUUUGUAAAGCUGCUUGUGCUGGCUGAGGGUGAAAUGGGUUUGGGCAAGUGAAAGUGAUUUCUGUCCCUUGUGGGUAAAUUGAGCUUCAGAUAUGGUUAUUUGAAACUGGAAAAGGAAAAUGGCAAUGGUCACUAAAUGCAAUUCCACUACGUGUCUAAGCUUCCAGAGCUUAAAUUUUGUACUUGACUGGUAUAUAAAAUGAAAUCUAGUGUGAUGUAACUGUUGGGUACUGUUUUUGUAUGCAGUGGCAUAGUUGUGAUGCUAAUUUUUGUCAUCAUUUGCUGUAGUUGUUCUUUUCUUCCCAUCGCAGAUGCUUGUAAAGGCAUGUUCUUUAUGACAGCUUAGAACGUUGAGUUAUUCACUGCAUGAGUUGUUGCAGAUGAAUUUCAUCAUAUGGCUAUAGAUAAGAUGAGUGUUUUCUCUCUUGAGAGUAAAACUUCCUCAGUCCCUUCCUUUAGUGAAGAUGGUAGUUUCGUAGUAGUUAGUCGUGCUUAAGGAGAUUUAUCAUUUCUCUCUUCCAUCUUUGUUUUAAUCUGUGGUUCGUGUGAUUAUGAUCUAAAGCGUGGGUUCAGAAUUUCUCAACUUGGGUUUCUUCAUCCCUUGCUGGGGUUUUGGCUUUCAAUGUGAGGAUGUUAGAUUUAGCCAUAAAUGAGCUUUUUCAACGAACUGAUUCUCUGUCAUGGGACAAGGUAACGUUAGAAUUAAAUGCAGACGAUCAAGCUGCUGAAACGGUUUCUAGUACCAUAUUGGUUGGGUGAAUUAUUGCAGUCAAGGAAUAUCAGGUAACUCAUGUUAAAAAUGU
RNAcentral lists this unclassified non-coding RNA (1463 nucleotides) under Hevea brasiliensis (rubber tree). The record is from RNAcentral. Lineage: Eukaryota; Viridiplantae; Streptophyta; Magnoliopsida; Malpighiales; Euphorbiaceae.